This 468-nucleotide ribosomal RNA is filed under the name uncultured bacterium. Its description in RNAcentral is "partial 16S ribosomal RNA". It matches the Rfam family "Bacterial small subunit ribosomal RNA", at positions 28 to 507 of the family's 1533-position model. The record is from RNAcentral.
GACGAACGCUGGCGGCGUGCUUAACACAUGCAAGUCGAACGGAAAGGCCCUGCUUUUGUGGGGUGCUCGAGUGGCGAACGGGUGAGUAACACGUGAGUAACCUGCCCUUGACUUUGGGAUAACUUCAGGAAACUGGGGCUAAUACCGGAUAGGAGCUCCUGCUGCAUGGUGGGGGUUGGAAAGUUUCGGCGGUUGGGGAUGGACUCGCGGCUUAUCAGCUUGUUGGUGGGGUAGUGGCUUACCAAGGCUUUGACGGGUAGCCGGCCUGAGAGGGUGACCGGCCACAUUGGGACUGAGAUACGGCCAGGACUCCUACGGGAGGCAGCAGUGGGGAAUAUUGCACAAUGGGCGGAAGCCUGAUGCAGCAACGCCGCGUGCGGGAUGACGGCCUUCGGGUUGUAAACCGCUUUCGCCUGUGACGAAGCGUGAGUGACGGUAAUGGGUAAAGAAGCACCGGCUAACUACGUG